Molecule: ribosomal RNA, 481 nt
Filed under: uncultured bacterium
Lineage: Bacteria
Description: bacterial SSU rRNA
Rfam family: Bacterial small subunit ribosomal RNA
Source: RNAcentral
GAACGCUGGCGGCGUGCCUAACACAUGCAAGUCGAACGGGGUAUUGAGAGCUUGCUCUUAAUACUUAGUGGCGAACGGGUGAGUAACGCGUGAGCAACUUGCCCGUUUCUGGGGGAAUAAACCGGUGGAAACGCCGACUAAUACCCCAUGGUAUGACGAAGAGGCAUCUCUUUGUUAUUAAAGAAUUUCGGAAACGGAUAGGCUCGCGUGACAUUAGCUAGAUGGCGGGGUAACGGCCCACCAUGGCUACGAUGUCUAGGGGUUCUGAGAGGAAGGUCCCCCACACUGGAACUGAGACACGGUCCAGACUCCUACGGGAGGCAGCAGUGAGGAAUAUUGGUCAAUGGUCUGACGACUGAACCAGCCAUGCCGCGUGAAGGUCACGGCCCUAUGGGUCUUAAACUUCUUUUGUAAGGGAGCAAUAAGUCUCACGUGUGGGAUGAUGAGAGUACCUUACGAAUAAGCAUCGGCUAACUCCGUG